GGCAGAUUAGCUAGUUGGCGGGGUAAUGGCCCACCAAGGCAGUGAUCUGUAUCCGGCCUGAGAGGGCGCACGGACACACUGGAACUGAAACACGGUCCAGACUCCUACGGGAGGCAGCAGUGGGGAAUUUUGCGCAAUGGGGGAAACCCUGACGUAGCAACGCCGCGUGGAGGAUGAAGUCCCUUGGGACGUAAACUCCUUUCGACCGGGAAGAUUAUGACGGUACCGGAAGAAGAAGCCCCGGCUAACUUCGUGCCAGCAGCCGCGGUAAUACGAGGGGGGCAAGCGUUGUUCGGAAUUAUUGGGCGUAAAGGGUGCGUAGGCGGUUCGGUAAGUCUUGUGUGAAAUCUUCGGGCUCAACUCGAAGUCUGCACGAGAAACUGCCGGGCUUGAGUGUGGGAGAGGAAAGUGGAAUUCCUGGUGUAGCGGUGAAAUGCGUAGAUAUCAGGAGGAACACCGGUGGUGUAGACGGCUUUCUGGACCGUAACUGACGCUGAAACACGAAAGCGUGGGUAGCA
RNAcentral lists this ribosomal RNA (518 nucleotides) under uncultured bacterium. RNAcentral describes it as "bacterial SSU rRNA". It matches the Rfam family "Bacterial small subunit ribosomal RNA", at positions 235 to 770 of the family's 1533-position model. The record is from RNAcentral.